This is a long non-coding RNA of Rhincodon typus (whale shark), 990 nucleotides long. RefSeq lists it as uncharacterized. The transcript is spliced from 5 exons. NCBI's taxonomy places the organism in Eukaryota, Metazoa, Chordata, Chondrichthyes, Orectolobiformes, Rhincodontidae. The record is from RefSeq and is a predicted model, not a curated record.
GCCAUCUGCACGUCGCACCUUGAUGCGCUCACAGGCAGGACCCACCUCCUCCCCGGGGGCGGGGCAGCUCAGGCCGACACUUCAAGCAAAAUCAAAUGCUGCGGAUUCCGGAAGACCUGCAGUGUAAACAAAAACACCCCGCAGCAAAUGAUAUCGAAUUUGGACCAACUGACUGGACAAAUCACUUCCUUUAAAUCAAGCAAAGGACUUGGUGGCCACCUAGAGAAACUGAAUGGAUUCUCACUGAGAGAUUACAAAGAAGUGUACAGCCAACUUACCUCCUUCUUCCUGAUCCUCAUCACUUUUUUCUCCAUCUUCGCUUUCCAAAUUGAGGUCUUCAGGCAAGUCUAAGGCCUCUGUCUCUGGCUGUUUAUCCUGAUUGCCUUGCAACGAGUUCAGACUUCUCCUGUGGAUAGAAAACCAGUUGAAGCAUACGUUACUAAGACAACUUCCAGAUGGAACCGAUCAACUAACCCAAGUGAAGAGCUCCUCCAAAAAAAAACAGAGGCAGCACCACCAGAGCCACAACUAUCUCAAAGGACAAGUGCAACAACCACAUGGGGAACAACGACCAUCUCUAAACACACUAUCCACCGUGAAAAUAUAUUACUGUUGUUUACAAAUUGCUACUUUAAAAUCCUGGAACUUAAGAUCUAAUAGCACAGUGGAAGUACCUUCAACGGCAUUAAAUGCUGACUUUGAUUUAAUAAGAUCACCACAUCUUGAUAACACUGAACUAGAAAUAGUUAGCUUUGAUUUUGUUCAGUUCAAUCGCACCCAAGAUACUCCUUUAAUUCAACAGUGAAAUGACUCAUUACAAUUGCCUGAUCAAAUUCACCAUGCUUAUGUGAUGGAAUUUUCAAAUAUCAAAUAUGACAGACCUGAAUGCUCAACUUUAACAGUGUAGACUGGAGGUGUUCUGAAAUGUUUUUACAUGGAUAAACUGCCUUCAGAAUUUUGCUGUAAUCAAUAAAAUAAUUGCAAUGCCGA